Molecule: long non-coding RNA, 557 nt
Filed under: Capsella rubella
Lineage: Eukaryota; Viridiplantae; Streptophyta; Magnoliopsida; Brassicales; Brassicaceae
Description: long non-coding RNA (CRUB_LNC003769)
Source: RNAcentral
GAAUCACAUCUCUGUAUUUAUAACUCUUAAGUGUUUCGAUUAUGUUUCAUUCACAAAUCAAAUAACUAAAAAAAUGUCUUUAAUAUCAUCCAAAUCUUUGUUUGUUGUGUUCUUGUGUUUGGUUGUUCUCUUGAUCCCAAGUAUUCAACAAAAGAUAUCCACUUUUUGUUAAUUUAAACCUAUAUGAUAUGCUUAUUUUCUAUAAUAGUGUAUAUAUUUUUAUGUUUUGUAGUAAUUGGUUUUAUUAUAUAUUACAGAAAUUACGGAAGCUGGCACUGAUUUACAAGGAGAGGGAUAUUUUAUCAUAGGUUCUUGCUCGACAACUCCAGAGUGCACCCAAAAAUGCAUUGAUAUGCAAAUGACAAUGCAUCACGGAAUAUGUUUUGAAGUAGUGCCUCAUGCCCGUGAAAAAGCAUGCGGUUGCUAUUAAAUAAUAACUCUAUUAAGAUACCGUGUAUGUUAUAAAAAAAAAAUACUAAUAAUAUAUACAUUUCUUUUUGUUUUAUAAAUAUUUAUAUUUUCUCAAAUCAAUAAAUUCUUAUGGAUUUUUAAAAAAA